Molecule: ribosomal RNA, 392 nt
Filed under: uncultured Gammaproteobacteria bacterium
Lineage: Bacteria; Pseudomonadati; Pseudomonadota; Gammaproteobacteria
Description: bacterial SSU rRNA
Rfam family: Bacterial small subunit ribosomal RNA
Source: RNAcentral
AAUGGGGGAAACCCUGAUCCAGCAAUGCCGCGUGAGUGAUGAAGGCUCUAGGGUUGUAAAACUCUUUCAGAAGUGAAGAUGAUGACGGUAACUUCAGAAGAAGCUCCGGCUAACUCCGUGCCAGCAGCCGCGGUAAUACGGAGGGAGCUAGCGUUGUUCGGAAUUACUGGGCGUAAAGAGCGUGUAGGCUGUUAGGUAAGUCAGAGGUGAAAUCCCUGAGCUCAACUUAGGAACUGCCUUCGAUACUAUCUUACUAGAGAUCGAGAGAAGUUAGCGGAAUUCCAAGUGUAGAGGUGAAAUUCGUAGGUAUUUGGAAGAACACCAGUGGCGAAAGCGGCUAACUGGCUCGUAUCUGACGCUGAGACGCGAAAGCGUGGGUAGCAAACAGGAUU